Molecule: non-coding RNA, 1236 nt
Organism: Schizosaccharomyces pombe (fission yeast)
Lineage: Eukaryota; Fungi; Ascomycota; Schizosaccharomycetes; Schizosaccharomycetales; Schizosaccharomycetaceae
Source: the annotation of a GenBank genome assembly
AAGUUUGAUAACACAUCAAUAUAGUGAGAAAGACAAACAUACGAUAACGAACAGUUGUCACAUCUAGCCCGUUUGAUGAAAUAUUAGCAAGAAAUACGACUUCUCGACUAACCCUUGAGAACCCCUUUAAACAUGAAAUUCCACAAACUUCCGCACAUUUCACGACACAUACCGCCUAUCUUUAAUGCGAACUGUACAUCAUCUAAUAAACAACUCACAAUAAUAGGCGAUCCAUCCACUCGAAUCGCUAUUGAUGCAAACUACAAUUGCCGUCGAAAGGUCAAAACUGCUUCGGGAUACUAUCGUCAGUAGUACCCAAUAUCUACAAGACUCCACUACCCUUCAUCGAUGAGCUGUACAGAAUCAUACGAACCACAAGCAAAAUACAGGGGUGACAUAGAGCUAAUCAUAAGCAAAGAUUUAAAGCUUUAACAUCUUGAACGACAUCUGUAUCAUCUAAUAAACAUAUUCUCCUUGCAAGUUUCAGAACUAGUGAUACUCAAAACAGUUAACAUCCUAUACAGUGUUCCGAUUUCCUGUACGUGGUUUAAACGUUUAAUCAUUCCCCUAGACGCCCCUUUUUGAAUUUACUUCCCACACAAUAUUGGAUACCUACGUCCACAAUCAUCGUGCCAUAUCAUCUCCGUACAUUCACAUGACUAUAGUUUGCUCACAAACACAUUAAUUUCAUCAAAUUUAAAAAUGCGUGUCUGAAUGUAGUAAGAGAACACAAGGUUUACGUAUUAGAUCUUCUUUUUUUAGGGGUUUAAAGAAUAUUUCAUAUGUUUGAGCAUUUACUGCUUAUUUGGCUUAAGGAAGUCUUAGUUUAAACGGAAUGAAACAGCUACGUUUUCAGACAUACAUACGAACUUCCAUUCCAACUUCCGUUUUGGUAAAAGGUAGAGAGAAACAAAUACAUGCCAGAAACUAUUCAACAGUUCAACCCGAUUGCGUGAUUGGUAUACUGAUAUAUAGGGUAUUCCAUAAUAACACAGAGUGCAUGCAAUUAUCUUUACUGUCGUUUAGUGUUCUAUCGCUAUUUAACAAACUUAACUUUUCUCAUUACUAAAUCGAUAAAUGGUAUGUGCAUUAGAAACAUUGUCGCUUCUUGCUGAUGCUCAUGGUUAAAAUUAUGUAACAUUUCAAGUGAUACUAUUUGAAAUGGAUGCAGGAUAUCAAGAGAAGCUUGUUUAAUUAUUUAGCAAAGUGUCAAUAUAUUCAAAAUCAUCAUCAAAA